UUGUGUGUUUCCAAUAGUCACCACGCUGGGCAGGCGGGUUUGGACUGCACAGCCGGCUUUGUCGCACCGAAGACGCUGCCCCGUCUUCGAGAUAUAUUAAUCGACGUCACAGCUUGUCACGUUUAUGAGACCUAUAGUGUGACAUCAUUUAUUUUUUACAUUUAGUAAAUAGAUAUGUAGUUCAAAUAUCAUGUUCUAUUACUAAAAAUUAACCUAACCGGCCACAUCAACUCAACGACCCACAGUAGACUUAACUAUGGCUAUACUUAUAGCUAUUAAAAUAUAAGACUGCAAAUCCUUAAAGAAAUACCAAAGAACUUAGUACUACCGUCCUAAUUAGUAGUAUUUUAUUCAUCGUAGCUAUAAUAGCGGUAAGUUAGCGUAAUUCCCAGCAAAUCACAUCUCUACCGAGUCUUACUAACUUCGAGU
RNAcentral lists this unclassified non-coding RNA (429 nucleotides) under Melitaea cinxia (Glanville fritillary). RNAcentral's name for it is "misc RNA ENSMCXG00005007847.1". The record is from RNAcentral. Lineage: Eukaryota; Metazoa; Arthropoda; Insecta; Lepidoptera; Nymphalidae.